RNAcentral lists this ribosomal RNA (559 nucleotides) under uncultured bacterium. RNAcentral describes it as "bacterial SSU rRNA". It matches the Rfam family "Bacterial small subunit ribosomal RNA", at positions 65 to 669 of the family's 1533-position model. The record is from RNAcentral.
AACGGGAUCUUCGGAUCUAGUGGCGGACGGGUGAGUAACGCGUGNGGAACGUACCCUUUGGUUCGGAAUAGCCCUGGGAAACUGGGAGUAAUACCGGAUACGGUCGAGAGACGAAAGAUUUAUCGCCGAAGGAUCGGCCCGCGUUGGAUUAGGUAGUUGGUGGGGUAAUGGCCUACCAAGCCGACGAUCCAUAGCUGGUUUGAGAGGAUGAUCAGCCACACUGGGACUGAGACACGGCCCAGACUCCUACGGGAGGCAGCAGUGGGGAAUCUUAGACAAUGGGGGAAACCCUGAUCUAGCCAUGCCGCGUGAGCGAUGAAGGCCUUAGGGUUGUAAAGCUCUUUCGUGGGGGAAGAUAAUGACUGUACCCCAAGAAGAAGCCCCGGCUAACUCCGUGCCAGCAGCCGCGGUAAUACGAAGGGGGCUAGCGUUGCUCGGAAUUACUGGGCGUAAAGGGAGCGUAGGCGGACAUUUAAGUCAGGGGUGAAAUCCCGGGGCUCAACCUCGGAACUGCCUUUGAUACUGGAUGUCUUGAGUGUGAGAGAGGUAUGUGGAACUC